UAUUGAAUUCUUGGAUGUAGCUUUGUGUUAGCAUCAAUUCCUGGGGUGGGUAUUUAACGUGGAGGUUCUUUGGUAUCAAAGUGCCUUGGACUCACAGCCAUGAAUUACUGGAGCUUAAGAAAGGCAAGUCACCCAUGGAUGUAGUGCAAGCUUUAAUACCUUUUGAACCAACUAGAAGAUUUCAAAGACAUUUAACAGUGCAGAAGAGAUUUGUAAGAUAUGAAACUUCUGUGAACUGUGUGAAAAAAGAUCCCACUGGGUUCAAGGUGAAAUCAUCUGGCAUGUUAAUAGGAUUGAUCUGUAGAAAAUGAUGGACUAAAAAAACCCCACCCAAACCAACAGCGAGCCGCUGUCACACAUCUCAUCAGGGUCAUUGCUGCAGCCUCAAACUCAUCAUUUGUGCUGGGUACAGAGCUCCUGGGGCAAUUCAUUCCUUGCAGAGAGUUGUGAAGACAAGGAAUGUCCAGGAGGCCGAGUGGGGAGUUCACCUUGUGGCCUGCUCAGGAGCCCAGGAGCUGCACAAAGCCGUCAUUCAGAGCACAGGAGUGUUGUCACUGACACAAACACUUUCCAAAACAUUCUUCGCUGCAGUUUUGGUGGAAGGUGUGACACAGCUUCAAAUA
Molecule: long non-coding RNA, 623 nt
Organism: Serinus canaria (Common canary)
Lineage: Eukaryota; Metazoa; Chordata; Aves; Passeriformes; Fringillidae
Exons: 3
Source: RefSeq, a predicted model, not a curated record